CAAGUUUGGCCCCAGAGUGGGUACGAGCUCUCUCUCAUGGUGGUAGUGUAAACUCCCCACCCCCAGUCCUGGCCUCAACAAGUAUAAGUUGGCAGAUCACCGGUAUGGCCGUGAAGAGAUGUUGGCAUUGUUCGACAAGCACCAGAGUCCGCCAGAUGGAAUACUAGCACUUGGGCCACUGUACCUUGAACAUCCUCAAGAUCCCCUGGCACUUAUACCUAUGAAACGAAGAUGAACAGCGGAUGUGGCAGAGAGGAGUAAACAGUGAUGCUGUGUUGCGGCAGACAGGAAGACCCCCAGUGAAUGGUGUUGGGCGUGGCAGGGUGGCAGUGGUGGACCGCGGGCGAGGCCGAGGACGAGGCACUGGCUCGUACUACAGUCGAGGUCUGAGCUACGAUGAAGAGGCAGAACCACGGGGACCGAGGGAAGGUGGAACAAUGACACUUGGAAUGGGG
Non-coding RNA from Penaeus vannamei (Pacific white shrimp), 455 nucleotides. Lineage: Eukaryota; Metazoa; Arthropoda; Malacostraca; Decapoda; Penaeidae. The record is from RefSeq and is a predicted model, not a curated record.